RNAcentral lists this ribosomal RNA (215 nucleotides) under uncultured bacterium. Its description in RNAcentral is "partial 16S ribosomal RNA". It matches the Rfam family "Bacterial small subunit ribosomal RNA", at positions 118 to 351 of the family's 1533-position model. The record is from RNAcentral.
UGGGAACCUUCCCUAUGGUUCGGAAUAGCUCAGGGAAACUUGGGGUAAUACCGGAUAUGCCCUUCGGGGAAAGAUUUAUCGCCAUUGGAUGGGCCCGCGUCGGAUUAGCUAGUUGGUGAGGUAACGGCUCACCAAGGCAACAAUCCGUAGCUGGUCUGAGAGGAUGAUCAGCCACACUGGGACUGAGACACGGCCCAGACUCCUACGGGAGGCAG